Molecule: ribosomal RNA, 495 nt
Filed under: uncultured bacterium
Lineage: Bacteria
Description: partial 16S ribosomal RNA
Rfam family: Bacterial small subunit ribosomal RNA
Source: RNAcentral
GACGAACGCUGGCGGCGUGCCUAAUACAUGCAAGUAGAACGCUGAAGGAGGAGCUUGCUUCUCCGGAUGAGUUGCGAACGGGUGAGUAACGCGUAGGUAACCUGCCUGGUAGCGGGCGAUAACUAUUGGAAACGAUAGCUAAUACCGCAUAACAGUAGAUGUUGCAUGACAUUUGCUUAAAAGGUGCAAUUGCAUCACUACCAGAUGGACCUGCGUUGUAUUAGCUAGUUGGUGAGGUAACGGCUCACCAAGGCGACGAUACAUAGCCGACCUGAGAGGGUGAUCGGCCACACUGGGACUGAGACACGGCCCAGACUCCUACGGGAGGCAGCAGUAGGGAAUCUUCGGCAAUGGACGGAAGUCUGACCGAGCAACGCCGCGUGAGUGAAGAAGGUUUUCGGAUCGUAAAGCUCUGUUGUAAGAGAAGAACGAGUGUGAGAGUGGAAAGUUCACACUGUGACGGUAUCUUACCAGAAAGGGACGGCUAACUACGUG